RNAcentral lists this ribosomal RNA (457 nucleotides) under uncultured bacterium. RNAcentral describes it as "bacterial SSU rRNA". It matches the Rfam family "Bacterial small subunit ribosomal RNA", at positions 28 to 507 of the family's 1533-position model. The record is from RNAcentral.
GGUGAACGCUGGCGGCGUGCCUAACACAUGCAAGUCGAGCGGUGCAGUUUGAAGCUUCGGUGGAAAGCUGCAUAGCGGCGGACGGGUGAGGAAAACGUAGGGAACGUGCCCCUUGGAGUUGGAUAGCCACGGGAAACUGUGGGUAAACCGACAUAGACUCGAGAGAGUAAAGGCCGAAAGGCGCCGAAGGGAGCGGCCUGCGGCCCAUCAGGUAGUUGGUAGUGUAAAGGACUACCAAGCCGACGACGGGUAGCCGGUCUGAGAGGAUGGCCGGCCACAAGGGCACUGAGAGACGGGCCCUACUCCUACGGGAGGCAGCAGUGGGGGAUUUUGGACAAUGGGCGAAAGCCUGAUCCAGCGACGCCGCGUGGAGGACGAAGCCCUUCGGGGUGUAAACUCCUUUUCUCAGGGAAAAAGGAUGAUGGUACCUGAGGAAUAAGCCCCGGCUAACUACGUG